UGGGGAAUUUUGGACAAUGGGCGCAAGCCUGAUCCAGCCAUGCCGCGUGCAGGAUGAAGGCCUUCGGGUUGUAAACUGCUUUUGUACGGAACGAAAAAGCUCUCUCUAAUACAGGGGGU
This 119-nucleotide ribosomal RNA is filed under the name uncultured bacterium. RNAcentral's name for it is "partial 16S ribosomal RNA". It matches the Rfam family "Bacterial small subunit ribosomal RNA", at positions 355 to 470 of the family's 1533-position model. The record is from RNAcentral.